GAUGAACGCUAGCGGCGUGCCUAAUACAUGCAAGUCGAGCGAACGGACGAGAAGCUUGCUUCUCUGAUGUUAGCGGCGGACGGGUGAGUAACACGUGGAUAACCUACCUAUAAGACUGGGAUAACUUCGGGAAACCGGAGCUAAUACCGGAUAAUAUUUUGAACCGCAUGGUUCAAAAGUGAAAGACGGUCUUGCUGUCACUUAUAGAUGGAUCCGCGCUGCAUUAGCUAGUUGGUAGGGUAACGGCUUACCAAGGCAACGAUGCAUAGCCGACCUGAGAGGGUGAUCGGCCACACUGGAACUGAGACACGGUCCAGACUCCUACGGGAGGCAGCAGUAGGGAAUCUUCCGCAAUGGGCGAAAGCCUGACGGAGCAACGCCGCGUGAGUGAUGAAGGUCUUCGGAUCGUAAAACUCUGUUAUUAGGGAAGAACAUAUGUGUAAGUAACUGUGCACAUCUUGACGGUACCUAAUCAGAAAGCCACGGCUAACUACGUGCCAGCAGCCGCGGUAAUACGUAGGUGGCAAGCGUUAUCCGGAAUUAUUGGGCGUAAAGCGCGCGUAGGCGGUUUUUUAAGUCUGAUGUGAAAGCCCACGGCUCAACCGUGGAGGGUCAUUGGAAACUGGAAAACUUGAGUGCAGAAGAGGAAAGUGGAAUUCCAUGUGUAGCGGUGAAAUGCGCAGAGAUAUGGAGGAACACCAGUGGCGAAGGCGACUUUCUGGUCUGUAACUGACGCUGAUGUGCGAAAGCGUGGGGAUCAAACAGGAUUAGAUACCCUGGUAGUCCACGCCGUAAACGAUGAGUGCUAAGUGUUAGGGGGUUUCCGCCCCUUAGUGCUGCAGCUAACGCAUUAAGCACUCCGCCUGGGGAGUACGACCGCAAGGUUGAAACUCAAAGGAAUUGACGGGGACCCGCACAAGCGGUGGAGCAUGUGGUUUAAUUCGAAGCAACGCGAAGAACCUUACCAAAUCUUGACAUCCUUUGACAACUCUAGAGAUAGAGCCUUCCCCUUCGGGGGACAAAGUGACAGGUGGUGCAUGGUUGUCGUCAGCUCGUGUCGUGAGAUGUUGGGUUAAGUCCCGCAACGAGCGCAACCCUUAAGCUUAGUUGCCAUCAUUAAGUUGGGCACUCUAAGUUGACUGCCGGUGACAAACCGGAGGAAGGUGGGGAUGACGUCAAAUCAUCAUGCCCCUUAUGAUUUGGGCUACACACGUGCUACAAUGGACAAUACAAAGGGCAGCGAAACCGCGAGGUCAAGCAAAUCCCAUAAAGUUGUUCUCAGUUCGGAUUGUAGUCUGCAACUCGACUACAUGAAGCUGGAAUCGCUAGUAAUCGUAGAUCAGCAUGCUACGGUGAAUACGUUCCCGGGUCU
Molecule: ribosomal RNA, 1372 nt
Filed under: uncultured bacterium
Lineage: Bacteria
Description: bacterial SSU rRNA
Rfam family: Bacterial small subunit ribosomal RNA
Source: RNAcentral